CAAUAGCGUAUAUUUAAGUUGCUGCAGUUAAAAAGCUCGUAGUUGGAUUUCGGGUGGGAAUGGCCGGUCCGCCGUUUCGGUGUGCACUUGCUACGCCCACCUUGCUGCCGGGGACGUGCUCUUGAGUUCACGCUCGGGACACGGAGUCGGCGAGGUUACUUUGAGUAAAUUAGAGUGUUCAAAGCAGGCCUACGCUCUGAAUACAUUAGCAUGGAAUAACACGAUAGGACUCUGGCCUAUCUUGUUGGUCUGUAGGACCGGAGUAAUGAUUAAGAGGGACAGUCGGGGGCAUUCGUAUUCCGUUGUCGGAGGUGAAAUUCUUGGAUUUACGGAAGACGAACAUCUGCGAAAGCAUUUGCCAAGGAUGUUUUCAUUGA
Molecule: ribosomal RNA, 377 nt
Filed under: uncultured eukaryote
Lineage: Eukaryota
Description: partial 18S ribosomal RNA
Rfam family: Eukaryotic small subunit ribosomal RNA
Source: RNAcentral